This is a non-coding RNA of Petromyzon marinus (sea lamprey), 285 nucleotides long. The record is from RefSeq and is a predicted model, not a curated record. NCBI's taxonomy places the organism in Eukaryota, Metazoa, Chordata, Hyperoartia, Petromyzontiformes, Petromyzontidae.
GGCCAGGAGGGACGAGGGGGAGGAGCCAGGAGGGACGAGGGGGAGGGGCCAGGAGCGGGAGGGGGGGAGCCGUGGCGCCGCUCUUGGGCCGCGAGGCCUCCCCCUGGGCCCGCGGCGCCACGCGGAGACCGCGACAGCAUCAGCAGCAGGAGGUUUAAGAAUCUGCCGGUGUCUGUGCUGGAGGUGGACGUCUGGAUAUCUGUGCGGUCUGGAGCGGUGGACAAUAGACUCCUGCAGCUCAACCAGUCCUGGACCUUCCCUCGGUCGACUCACCCUCUAAAGAGU